UACGGAGGGUGCAAGCGUUGUCCGGAAUCACUGGGCGUAAAGGGCGCGUAGGCGGCUCAUGAAGGCUGUGGUGAAAGUCCGGGGCUCAACCUCGGAUCGGCCGUGGCGACUCGUGGGCUGGAGCACUGUAGAGGCGGGUGGAAUUCCGGGUGUAGCGGUGGAAUGCGUAGAGAUCCGGAAGAACACCAGUGGCGAAGGCGGCCCGCUGGGCAGUGGCUGACGCUGAGGCGCGAAAGCCAGGGGAGCAAACGGG
This 253-nucleotide ribosomal RNA is filed under the name uncultured bacterium. RNAcentral describes it as "partial 16S ribosomal RNA". It matches the Rfam family "Bacterial small subunit ribosomal RNA", at positions 524 to 776 of the family's 1533-position model. The record is from RNAcentral.